Non-coding RNA from Pelobates cultripes (western spadefoot toad), 227 nucleotides. NCBI's taxonomy places the organism in Eukaryota, Metazoa, Chordata, Amphibia, Anura, Pelobatidae. The record is from the annotation of a GenBank genome assembly.
AUAUGGGUGGGGCAUAGAGAUGUCACAUGGGGGGGGGGGAAGCCAAACUUUACUUUUGCCUAGGGCGGCAAAAAUCCUUGCACCGGCCCUGAGUGGUAUUUAAACUCCCCACAUGUAGAAUAUUCCUCUGACGAUAUCAUCAUAAAAUAUACUUAUAUAAUGUCCAGUGUAAGUGUCAGUGUAGAGAUAUAUCCAAAUGAAUAAUCUUUGUCUAAGGAUAUUUUCAC